AACUGCAACGGUGGCCUAGUGGUUAGAGCGUUCACCUCAGAUGCGGGAGGAGGCGGGCUCGAACCCCGGCCGAGUCA
Molecule: non-coding RNA, 77 nt
Organism: Potamilus streckersoni
Lineage: Eukaryota; Metazoa; Mollusca; Bivalvia; Unionida; Unionidae
Source: the annotation of a GenBank genome assembly